RNAcentral lists this ribosomal RNA (433 nucleotides) under uncultured bacterium. RNAcentral's name for it is "partial 16S ribosomal RNA". It matches the Rfam family "Bacterial small subunit ribosomal RNA", at positions 29 to 507 of the family's 1533-position model. The record is from RNAcentral.
AGCGAACGCUGGCGGCAGGCCUAACACAUGCAAGUCGAACGAACUCUUCGGAGUUAGUGGCGGACGGGUGAGUAACACGUGGGAACGUGCCUUUAGGUUCGGAAUAACUCAGGUAAACUUGUGCUAAUACCGAAUGUGCCCUUCGGGGGAAAGAUUUAUCGCCUUUAGAGCGGCCCGCGUCUGAUUAGCUAGUUGGUGAGGUAAAGGCUCACCAAGGCGACGAUCAGUAGCUGGUCUGAGAGGAUGAUCAGCCACAUUGGGACUGAGACACGGCCCAAACUCCUACGGGAAGCAGCAGUGGGGAAUCUUGCGCAAUGGGCGAAAGCCUGACGCAGCCAUGCCGCGUGAAUGAUGAAGGUCUUAGGAUUGUAAAAUUCUUUCACCGGGGACGAUAAUGACGGUACCCGGAGAAGAAGCCCCGGCUAACUUCGUG